This 431-nucleotide ribosomal RNA is filed under the name uncultured Abiotrophia sp. RNAcentral describes it as "partial 16S ribosomal RNA". Lineage: Bacteria; Bacillati; Bacillota; Bacilli; Lactobacillales; Aerococcaceae. The record is from RNAcentral.
CACGUAGUUAGCCGUGGCUUUCUGGUUAGAUACCGUCACACGCAUAACAGUUACUCUAUGCGCUGUUCUUCUCUAACAACAGAGCUUUACGAUCCGAAGACCUUCUUCACUCACGCGGCGUUGCUCCGUCAGACUUGCGUCCAUUGCGGAAGAUUCCCUACUGCUGCCUCCCGUAGGAGUUUGGGCCGUGUCUCACGUCCCAAUGUGGCCGAUCACCCUCUCAGGUCGGCUAUGCAUCAUCGCCUUGGUAGGCCCCUUACCUACCAACUAGCUAAUGCCACCGGCGGGUCCAUCCUCUUAGCGAUAGCUUGCGCCACCUUUCCUCACGGAAUCAUGUGACUCCCAUGUCCUAUGACGGUUAUAGCUAGUUCGUUUCCGAUUCGUUACUCCCCCAUAGUGUACGGGUUACGGUUACCCACGUUCGUUACUCC